This is a non-coding RNA of Caenorhabditis elegans, 21 nucleotides long. The record is from Ensembl. Lineage: Eukaryota; Metazoa; Nematoda; Chromadorea; Rhabditida; Rhabditidae.
UGUCCUAAGAAUGCCAUUUCC